This 526-nucleotide ribosomal RNA is filed under the name Chaetomium sp. AX121. Its description in RNAcentral is "eukaryotic LSU rRNA". The stretch from base 215 to 368 matches the Rfam family "5.8S ribosomal RNA". The record is from RNAcentral. Lineage: Eukaryota; Fungi; Ascomycota; Sordariomycetes; Sordariales; Chaetomiaceae.
AACAAGGUCUCCGUUGGUGAACCAGCGGAGGGAUCAUUACAGAGUUGCAAAACUCCCUAAACCAUUGUGAACGUUACCUAUACCGUUGCUUCGGCGGGCGGCCCCGGGGUUUACCCCCCGGGCGCCCCUGGGCCCCACCGCGGGCGCCCGCCGGAGGUCACCAAACUCUUGAUAAUUUAUGGCCUCUCUGAGUCUUCUGUACUGAAUAAGUCAAAACUUUCAACAACGGAUCUCUUGGUUCUGGCAUCGAUGAAGAACGCAGCGAAAUGCGAUAAGUAAUGUGAAUUGCAGAAUUCAGUGAAUCAUCGAAUCUUUGAACGCACAUUGCGCCCGCCAGCAUUCUGGCGGGCAUGCCUGUUCGAGCGUCAUUUCAACCAUCAAGCCCCCGGGCUUGUGUUGGGGACCUGCGGCUGCCGCAGGCCCUGAAAAGCAGUGGCGGGCUCGCUGUCGCACCGAGCGUAGUAGCAUACAUCUCGCUCUGGUCGCGCCGCGGGUUCCGGCCGUUAAACCACGUUUUUAACCCAAG